RNAcentral lists this ribosomal RNA (431 nucleotides) under uncultured bacterium. RNAcentral's name for it is "partial 16S ribosomal RNA". It matches the Rfam family "Bacterial small subunit ribosomal RNA", at positions 29 to 507 of the family's 1533-position model. The record is from RNAcentral.
AACGAACGCUGGCGGCAGGCUUAACACAUGCAAGUCGAGCGCCUCGCCAGAGGAGCGGCCGCCGGGUGAGUAACGCGUGGGAACGUACCCUUAUCUUCGGAAUAGCUCUGGGAAACUGGAAGUAAUACCGAAUGUGCCCUUAGGGGGAAAGAUUUAUCGGAUAAGGAUCGGCCCGCGUUGGAUUAGCUAGUUGGUGGGGUAAAGGCCUACCAAGGCGACGAUCCAUAGCUGGUCUGAGAGGAUGAUCAGCCACAUUGGGACUGAGACACGGCCCAAACUCCUACGGGAGGCAGCAGUGGGGAAUAUUGGACAAUGGGCGCAAGCCUGAUCCAGCCAUGCCGCGUGAGUGAUGAAGGCCUUAGGGUUGUAAAGCUCUUUCACCGGAGAAGAUAAUGACGGUAUCCGGAGAAGAAGCCCCGGCUAACUUCGUG